This 253-nucleotide ribosomal RNA is filed under the name uncultured bacterium. Its description in RNAcentral is "partial 16S ribosomal RNA". It matches the Rfam family "Bacterial small subunit ribosomal RNA", at positions 524 to 776 of the family's 1533-position model. The record is from RNAcentral.
UACGUAGGGGGCUAGCGUUGUCCGGAAUCAUUGGGCGUAAAGCGCGUGUAGGCGGCUCGGUAAGUCCGCUCUGAAAGUCGGGGGCUCAACCCUCGGAUGCGGGUGGAUACUGUCGAGCUUGAGUGCGGAAGAGGCGAGUGGAAUUCCUGGUGUAGCGGUGAAAUGCGCAGAUAUCAGGAGGAACACCAAUUGCGAAGGCAGCUCGCUGGGACGUUACUGACGCUGAGAAGCGAAAGCAUGGGGAGCGAACAGG